This 446-nucleotide ribosomal RNA is filed under the name uncultured bacterium. RNAcentral describes it as "partial 16S ribosomal RNA". It matches the Rfam family "Bacterial small subunit ribosomal RNA", at positions 338 to 795 of the family's 1533-position model. The record is from RNAcentral.
CCUACGGGUGGCAGCAGUCGAGAAUCAUUCACAAUGGGGGAAACCCUGAUGGUGCGACGCCGCGUGGGGGAAUGAAGGUCUUCGGAUUGUAAACCCCUGUCAUGUGGGAGCAAAUUAAAAAGAUAGUACCACAAGAGGAAGAGACGGCUAACUCUGUGCCAGCAGCCGCGGUAAUACCGAGGUCUCAAGCGUUGUUCGGAAUCACUGGGCGUAAAGCGUGCGUAGGCUGUUUCGUAAGUCGUGUGUGAAAGGCGCGGGCUCAACCCGCGGACGGCACAUGAUACUGCGAGACUAGAGUAAGGGAGGGGGAACCGGAAUUCUCGGUGUAGCAGUGAAAUGCGUAGAUAUCGAGAGGAACCCUCGUGGCGAAGGCGGGUUCCUGGACAUUAACUGACGCUGAGGCACGAAGGCCAGGGGAGCGAAAGGGAUUAGAUACCCCAGUAGUC